UUGUCAGCUUGAGUCGUGAGAUGUUGUGUUAAGUCGCGCAACGAGCGCAACCCUUAUCCCUAUUUGCAACUCAAGAGCACUAUUGGGAAACUGCCAGUGACAAACCGGAGGAAGGGGGGGAUGACGUCAUGUCCUCACGCCCCUUAUGGGUGGGGCUUCACACGUCAUACAAUGGUGUGAACAGAGGGUCGCCAAUCCGCGAGCGGGAGCCAAUCCCAGAAAACCGAUCGUAGUCCGGAUCGCACUGUGCAACUCGAGUGCGUGAAGCUGGAAUCGCUAGUAAUCGCGGAUCAACAUGCCGCGGUGAAUACGUUCCCGGGUCUUGUACACACCGCCCGUCACCCCAUGGGAGUGGGUCUUACCAGAAGUGGCUAGUCUAACCGCAAGGAGUCCGGUCUCCACGGUAGGAAGUCAUGACUGGGGUGAAGUCGUAACAAGGUAACCGUA
This 447-nucleotide ribosomal RNA is filed under the name uncultured bacterium. RNAcentral's name for it is "bacterial SSU rRNA". It matches the Rfam family "Bacterial small subunit ribosomal RNA", at positions 1052 to 1504 of the family's 1533-position model. The record is from RNAcentral.